CCUACGGGAGGCAGCAGUGAGGAAUAUUGGUCAAUGGGCGGAAGCCUGAACCAGCCAAGUCGCGUGAGGGAUUAAGGCCCUGCGGGUCGUAAACCUCUUUUGCCGGGGAGCAGAGGUCCGGACGUGUCCGGGCCGGGAGAGUACCCGGAGAAAAAGCAUCGGCUAACUCCGUGCCAGCAGCCGCGGUAAUACGGAGGUUGCGAGCGUUAUCUGGAUUUAUUGGUUUUAAGGGGUGCGUAGGCGGGCAUUUAAGCCGGCGGUCAAAUGUCGGGGCUCAACCCCGGCCUGCCGUCGGAACUGGGUGCCUUGGGUGGGCGGGAAGUAUGCGGAAUGGGUGGUGUAGCGGUGAAAUGCAUAGAUAUCACGCAGAACCCCGAUUGCGAAGGCAGCAUACCGGCGCCCUACUGACGCUGAGGCACGAAAGUGCGGGUAUCGAACAGGAUUAGAUACCCUUGUGUC
This 459-nucleotide ribosomal RNA is filed under the name uncultured bacterium. RNAcentral's name for it is "partial 16S ribosomal RNA". It matches the Rfam family "Bacterial small subunit ribosomal RNA", at positions 338 to 795 of the family's 1533-position model. The record is from RNAcentral.